This 94-nucleotide transfer RNA is filed under the name Paenibacillus lautus. RNAcentral describes it as "tRNA-Gly". Lineage: Bacteria; Bacillati; Bacillota; Bacilli; Caryophanales; Paenibacillaceae. The record is from RNAcentral.
GCCGGCAUUGGGAGAAGCUAUCCGCGCUUUUACCGCAAGCGGCGGCAAGGUUCUGGCCACGGGUCGCUCGGGUUUGGAUCCAGACGGCAGCGCC